Patella vulgata (common limpet) is the source of this 5412-nucleotide long non-coding RNA. RefSeq lists it as uncharacterized. Lineage: Eukaryota; Metazoa; Mollusca; Gastropoda; Patellidae. The transcript has 5 exons. The record is from RefSeq and is a predicted model, not a curated record.
UGUCACCACCAUGGCGGCCAAGACAGUUGUAUCGCAGUCAAACAAAAGGAAAAGUAAACAUCCUAGUGGUGGAUACGGUACCCAGUGUAGAUCCUACGGGUGUUUUAAUUAUUCGGGCACUGCUGAGGGAUUAAAAUUCUUCAGUUUUCCUAAAGAAAAAGAGAGGUGUGAUAGAUGGAUUCAGAAUAUAAGAAGACGGGAUAUGAUGGGUAUGAAACCAGAAAAUCUGAAACAUUCCAGAUUGUGUUCAGAUCAUUUUGAGAACAGUCAAUUUAUGAACCCUACAGAUAGAACUAGCAGAUUGAAGCCCAAUGCUGUUCCUACUAUCAUUGAUGCCCCAAACGCACCAAAACGUCUGAAAUCAUGUAGGAGAGAGAUUGUAAGAAGAGUGAUUCAGAUUGAUGAAGAAGUUGAAACUGCUAUAAAGAUAAAGAAGGAGGAUAUAUCAACAGAAUCCGGAACAAUGACAGAUAUAUCCAAACAGGAUAUAGAUGACCUAAAAGCAACUAUUCAUAAAUUAUAAGCUGAAAAUCACAUAUUGAGAAAAAGAUGUACAGAUAUAUCCAAACAGGAUAUAGAUGACCUAAAAGCAACUAUUCAUAAAUUAAAAGCUGAGAAUCACAGAUUGAGAAAAAGAUGUACAGAUAAAAGAACUAUGUCAAAAAUUAUUUUAUUAGAUACACUGAGCAAAUAUUUAUCGCCGCCUGCUUAUAAUUUUGUCAAACAACAAAUAGAAGUUGCCAAAAAGAAGAACCGAGGAAUCAGAUGGUCUGAUGAAAUCAAGUCAUUUGCUUUACAGAUGAAGGGAAUUAGUACUAAAGGAUACAAAUUUCUUAAGAAAAUUUUCAGGCUUCCAGCCAUAAGAACUCUGAAUGAAAUGGUGGGUUCAUUUAAUAUUGAAGAAGGUUUUCAUCAAGCUGUUAUCAAAACCUUACAAGAAAUGACUACUAGUACUACCAUGUCUCCCAAGGAAAAAUUAGUUGUUUUGUCAUGAUGAAAUAGCCCAACUUUAAGGAAACUUUGGCAUACAAUAGAUCGUCUCUUUGAUUGUUUUAAUAGUAGCAGUUUGUCGUCAACCAAACCUUUGAAAUGUGCAUUAAGAGAUGGAACAGCUCAUAUGACUAGAAGAAUCAAUCAAGACUGUCUUGAGCACUUUUUUGGAUCAAUACGAGGAAAAGGAGGAUAUAGAGACAAUCCAGACUCCUACCAAUUCCAUCAUGCCUACAGGCAAUCACUAGUUGAACAUCUGAUGAUUGGUGGCAACACCAAUUGUGAAUUUGACAAAAGUCGCCUUUUUAUUAAAUUGAGCAAACUUUGCAAGUUCAAGUCAACCACAGCUGUUAUUGAAACAGAAAAACCUAAGUGCCCAGUAAACUCCUCUGCUCAAGCUACUGUACUUUCUGAUGUGUCCAUAGUUGAACUGGAUAUAUCUGACAUAUUGAUAGAUCCUCUUUUAGAACUGCCAGAAGAAAAUAUUGUUGCUUACAUAUCUGGAUAUCUUGUUCAUAGAGUUUAUAAUAAGUUUAAUUGUGAUACCUGUUUGAAGUUAUGGACUGCCUCUGAAAGUGAAGCUCAUGGUGACAUUUAUUCUUUUAUUGAUCAAUUGGAUGGCUGAAUGGUUAGCGUGCGCGCGCUGUAUCAUAAAGCCUGUCAUUGAGUCAACUGGCGUGGUAUCGAAUCCCCGGUUGUACGUGGCAAGGAAUAGGGUCGCCUGUCCAACCAAUUGGGUUUUCUCCGGGUCCUCCGGUUUCAUCCCACUGCUAAAGACCCCUACGUGCAAGCGAAUUAUUAAAAUAAAAUGAAACCAUGUGUUAGUCCCGAAAUGACCUAGUUUGUGUUGAGUGAACUUAAACCCCAUUUCUCUCUCUCUCUUUAUUGAUCAAAAGCAAUAUGAUAAAAACAAUAAGAAAGGUUUUGUUAAACCCAGUCAUUUAAUUUAUGCUGUUACAAUGAAAUUAGAAUCAAUAUUUAGAGAUUCUUUUGACGGUAUUAAUAAAUCCGAAAAUGUAUGUAAACAACUUAUUGAAAUAUUUAUGAAAAGUGUUACCAACAAUAUUGUUUUUUCAACUGGUUGUGCUAAAGUUCGUAGAUUUCUGCUGUGUCUAUUUGUUCGCAUGAGAAUACAUCAUUGUAUAAAAGAACUUAAUAGGUCUAGGAAAUGCAAGAAAAAUAAGAAAAAAAAAAAUUUGUGAAAGUGUCACAUUCCUAAUUUAUCAAGUUCUUUCUUAUUUUAUAAAAUAUUUAUUCAAUUAUUUGGACUAGUUAGACUGUAGAGUCUAUUCAUGUAUCUAGAUAUGUAUACACAUGCCAGUGAUCCAAAAUGUGCACCUUGCUAAGAUAUUUAUCUAUUGGUUUACUAGCCCCAAUCACUUGCAUAGAUACUUUUGUCACCUUAUAUAUGCUUACUUGGAAUGGAUUACAGAGUGAAACUCUUAUCACCUUCAAUAGUUACUUUAAACAUGCAUUAUGUAAGAGCUAUAUCUGCCUAUUGCAGGUAUGUGUUUAGGCCUUAAAUAGGGUCUAUUUACUUGCCAAGACCAUAAUCAACUCUCAAUGCCAUUGGACACUUGAGAUUUUAACUAGAUUAGAAUGGUUCGGCCAUUUAAUGUUUGAAUUUUGAUGAAACUUGAAAUGCAUGUUUAUAACCCACAGAUCUUGGUUCCUUUUGAUUUUUGUGCAUAUCGGAUCCUAACUUCCUGAAUUAUGUCCCCGGAUUGUACGAAAAAUCGCGUUUUAACUUGUGGUCCCUCUAGAGGUCACCAAAGAUCUGAGUUGCUUCGAUAUUGGCAUGUAUUGGACCAUAACUUCAUGGAUUAUGGCCCCUGAUUGUACAAAAACUAUCCUGUUUUUUAGCUUGUGGUCCUGCUAGAGACCACAAUUAUUAUCCGAUUUAAAUAACCGCUCAAAUAUAUAACCGUUAUGUCGUUUGAGUUCGAACUUCGUGAAAAUGGGACCAAAACUACCGGACGAAGUGGCUGCCCUUCGUAAAGGGGACCCUCUAGAGGUCACAAUUUUGAUCUGAUUUUGAUGAAACUUGAAAUUUAUGUCUAUAUCACAAAGAUCUUGGUUCUUUUUGAUAAUGGUGUAGAUGUUCAUGAGGUGAAUGUCUUUGCUGAAUUCAAUGAUUAAUAUUUUGUGCCAAGACUGAGCAAAGCUAAGCAAUUUCAUUGGUUGAUACUUUCGGACAUGAUAACUUUUAUUCUAAUUGAGGGAGAGUUAUGAAAUCGAUUGUAUAGUUUCGCUACAUCAAAACCAUGACUUAAGCUCCAUCACAAAUAUUUUCUACAUGAACUAAGCAUAGAUAAGCAGUUUGAUGAAAGACAAAUGUUCAAUUAAUUGAUAUGUGUCAUGUGUUUAUUUGAGGAUUUCAGAGGGGGGACAUAAGCCUCACUAUUGGCUUGUUUCAUUUGAGAAAGUUCUACACAGAGUUUUUUAUUUUCAUUUCAUCAUUUCAGUGGCAAUGUCUUAUGGGAAAUACAGGAUUUUAAGUCCCUGGCGUGGAUGGAAUAAGCCCGUAAACUUAAAAAAGUCACUGGAGUGGAUGGAAUAACCCCGUAAACUUUUUCCUGCUGCCAUCAGACAUUGUCACUGAAAAGAUAAUAUGAAAAGAAAAAAAACUUUGUGUAAGACUUUUUCAAAAAUGAAACAAGUCAACAGUUAGGCUUAUGUUCCUUGUUGAUAUUCUAAAAUAAAUAAAUGACACAUAUCAAUGAAUUGAAGUUUUGUCUUUUUAUUAAACUUCUUUUCUAUACUUAGUCCAAGCAGGAAAUAUAUCACCAUUCCACCAUAAUGAAGGUUGAAUUCAAAUUUCAGGAAAAUCGAAACUAAAUGGUGUAAAAGUAUGUAAUACAAAGGUUGUCAACCCUCUAGAGGUCACAAUUUUUAUCUUAUUUUGAUGAAACUUAAAAUAAAUGUUUAUGUCCUAAAGAUCUCAGUUUCUUUCGAUAUUUGCGCACUUUAGGCCAUAACUUUCUUGAUUAUGGCCACUGAUGGUACGAAAAAACCCUUUUGUUUUUAGCCUGUUCUCUAUCCAUCUUCCAAAUGUGACCGUAUCUUGCCUGGCAACUGCUGGUUAUUUUUAUAUGCAUUUUAGUUUUAAUGUUAAUAUUGUAUCUAGCUCUUAGUUAAAAUGGUUUUGUUGUUUUGUUACACUUUCUGUUUUGUUUUAACUAUUUCAAAUUAUCCCUUGUCUAUAGAAAUUAUACAGUUUGUUCAUUUGUGGGUCAUACCCUAGCUAACUGUUGCUACUGAUUGUACAUAUACAUAUUUCAUUUGAUUUUGUGAAUUUGUUAUAUAAGGGGGGGAUGGGAUGGCGCUUCGAGCUCUAGCUUGCUGGUCACCAAUGGCUCGCGGUCGUGGUUUCGAACCCUGGUGUGAGGGUGUGUGGCUUGGAGAUGGGGGCACCUUCUCAAUCUCAUGGGUUUACUCCGGGUUCCUCCCACAAAUAAAUAAUUGCUAUCCAUAAAGUUGCUGUCUUUUGUUUCCACAUUAAGCCAUCAUAAAGAACAGAUAUAUGUGUCCUUUCCUUAGAUCCCCCGUGUUAGUGUAUUGAAGAACAGAGGGUCAAUGUAUAGUCGUUUGGAUGGGACGAAAAGCCAUGGUCCAGUGUACACAUUGCGCGCAUGUAAAAUAAUUUGAUGUAAGGUUAGGCAUAGCGUCGCUGUCUGGACAAAAAUUCCCUCAUUGCAAACUGUAUGGCAUAUCCAUUACACUGUAUACAUCCCUUGGGAAAGUCCAAGAAAAAGGCUGAUAGAAUAAGACUUUUAAAGCCAACACAAAACUACCUUUUAAGGCGAAGCAACCACCAAGAGAUAUUACCAAGUGUUGACCUUCUGUUUAAUAAAAAAAACAAACAGUGCCACAUGUCAUUAACUUUCUAAGUUGGCUAAUCGACACGCCCCCAUCUGCAUCAAAAAGCACCAAAAUCAGCUUUGUGAUGAAAUAACUGGAUAAACCAACAUAGAAAGUAAUGAAAUUUGGCAUGCUCAUAUGUUAUGCAUUUGUCGUAAGGGCAGAUCCAGAAAUUUUUGCAGGUGGUUUGCCAGCUGGUUACUGAGACAAUGUAUAUUUUGGGGGUGGGGGCCCUGGGUUCUAUCACCCGGCAUUUAAAAUUUUUAAGAAAUACAGGGUGAUGUCCUAUAAUAUGACUAUAUAUUAGGAACCUAUAACAGUAAAUCUCUUUGGGGUAUAGUCUGUGCCCUGAAUAACUUACGGUCUGAAAGUCAGAUAUAUACAGGGGAAUUCAGGGUUAUUAUUCUGAAAGUUUUUCUUUAAAACCUGUAAUGUAUUCUUCCAGGGUAGGGUUGUCGUUUUUUUUCAUAAGACGAAAACAUGAUAUAAGGUUUUUCUUAAGAGAUAUUCUCAUUUUGCGUAAAUGUAAACAUUGAGGGUUUAUAAACAAGAUAAAGUCUU